Molecule: long non-coding RNA, 1639 nt
Organism: Cephus cinctus (wheat stem sawfly)
Lineage: Eukaryota; Metazoa; Arthropoda; Insecta; Hymenoptera; Cephidae
Exons: 2
Source: RefSeq, a predicted model, not a curated record
GGUAACUUUUCGUUCCAGUUGUUUUCACGUAACUAACUCACGUAUUCCUCUUUUUUCUUUAUUUAUUACCUGUCUAUCAAACUUCCUCGUUUCACUUGACAAAUUGUCUGGGAACGCGCUCUCGCGAAACUACAGUCGCAUAAAGAUUUGUCUCAAUUAUGGAAUUUCGCGUAAUCAUAUUCACCAGCAGCGGAUAGAAUAUUAGCACAAAUCACCGCUCUUCGGUUCCACGUAGAAGACGCCUGAGAUGAAAUUUCGAGGAUCGCGGCACUCAGGAAAAAAUAGACAAUCGUUUCGAAAAGCAAACGUCGAAAAAUUAAUGUCGAAGACAGUUCGCUUUCGUCGAUGCUGAUUAAGACACUCUUGUUAUUCUCUGGACGACGUUUCGAGUGGAACAGACGUCGUUGCUUAACAGCAUAUAUUUUAUGGGUGAGUACAGUAAGAAAGAUUAUGAUAAGCUUCUAACGAAUACAUAUAGGUCCUUAAAAAAAUUAUUACAAUUUUUCUAAUAUACUGUACAGCUUGGAUUUGCAUAUACCGUACCACGCAACGUGUAAAAUGCAGAUAACCUCAAAAACUGUGAUGUUUCAAAUAUAUAAUUACCAACGGUAUAAUUCUGUAAUAUAAAAACUAACUCAAACUAUCCGUUAAAUUGAAUUGAGUUCCAGAAAUAUAUGAGAUCCGCAUUGAACAGAGCGCAGCCAUGAUGAAUCUUGAAUAAAAGGAAAGAGAAGGUAUUCGCAUUGGAGUGGAGCACGCGAAAGGUCAAAGAGACACAAAUAUGUCUUGGCUCGACUCGAGCGUCCUCGAGGAAACAUUCGAGAUGGUCCAAGAUAAAAAGCAGAACGUCGCCGAUUUCAAUCUAAAGCCGUGAGAAGUCAAGGAAGCCAAAAAGCCGUACUGGGAAGUGGUAGCAGAGAAGAAAAGUAUCAAGAUAGAGACACAUAGUCCGUGAUUCGACAUAAUUGAUGAACGACUGGAGCCAUAAUAACAGCUGGAUAUAAAGGAGUAUUGAAAGAAGAAGAUUGGCAGAAGGGCAAAGGACGAUAAAAAAAUCAUUCAAACUCGCGUUAUCGACCAGUGGUCGAAUGGCGCACGAAACUAGAGCGUGCGAGCCAUCCUAGUAGCGACAUUAGCUUGGCAGUCCGAUAAGGGUGGAGAGCUACUGGCCUAGAUAGGUGAGUUAGAUUCGUUGUGUAUCUUCUACCCCCACCACUCAAACAAUUUACCCCCUCCAUGUCAUUUUAACCCCCCACCCUUCAAGGAGACUACCUCAGAACUAUCCCCUCCCAGCUCCAGCACGUUCCACAUAAGCGGGAAUCGAUUCUUCCUCGGUCACCUAGGCCCGAAGCGUCCUCCGUUAUCCGGCAACCUCAAAACAAUUAUGUACUCUUCGGGAAUAGGCUGAUCACCAGAUCCGAUGUUUACAUGGUCGCUGACGAUCAAUUUCCAUGAGGUAGCUAAUAGAGAAACAGCCUUCCCCGUCAGCCGGAAAACGGCAAACUACUUGGAGGAGGAUGGCUGAAUUUUUGUAAGAUGAGUUGGACUGGGGCCUCCGAGCUUUGCAAGUUUAAAAUCGCAAUGGUGAACGAUGUCGCGCACUUGUUCCUCUUCCUCGCGACACCUCGCCGCGGGUUCC